RNAcentral lists this ribosomal RNA (460 nucleotides) under uncultured bacterium. Its description in RNAcentral is "partial 16S ribosomal RNA". It matches the Rfam family "Bacterial small subunit ribosomal RNA", at positions 338 to 795 of the family's 1533-position model. The record is from RNAcentral.
CCUACGGGAGGCUGCAGUGAGGAAUAUUGGUCACUGGACGAGAGUCUGAACCAGCCAAGUAGCGUGAAGGAUGACUGCCCUAUGGGUUGUAAACUUCUUUUAUAAAGGAAUAAAACGAGGCACGUGUGCCUUUUUGCAUGUACUUUAUGAAUAAGGAUCGGCUAACUCCGUGCCAGCAGCCGCGGUAAUACGGAGGAUCCGAGCGUUAUCCGGAUUUAUUGGGUUUAAAGGGAGCGUAGAUGGGUUGUUAAGUCAGUUGUGAAAGUUUGCGGCUCAACCGUAAAAUUGCAAUUGAUACUGGCAGUCUUGAGUACAGUUGAGGUAGGCGGAAUUCGUGGUGUAGCGGUGAAAUGCUUAGAUAUCACGAAGAACCCCGAUUGCGAAGGCAGCUUACUAAACUGUGACUGACAUUGAUGCUCGAAAGUGUGGGUAUCGAACAGGAUUAGAUACCCGGGUAGUC